CGACCGCGACCCCAGGUCAGACGGGACUACCCGCUGAGUUUAAGCAUAUCAAUAAGCGGUGGAG
Molecule: ribosomal RNA, 64 nt
Filed under: Plantago lanceolata (narrow-leaved plantain)
Lineage: Eukaryota; Viridiplantae; Streptophyta; Magnoliopsida; Lamiales; Plantaginaceae
Also listed under: 1 other name
Description: partial 28S ribosomal RNA
Source: RNAcentral